Long non-coding RNA from Lepidothrix coronata (blue-crowned manakin), 4602 nucleotides. RefSeq lists it as uncharacterized. NCBI's taxonomy places the organism in Eukaryota, Metazoa, Chordata, Aves, Passeriformes, Pipridae. The record is from RefSeq and is a predicted model, not a curated record. The transcript has 5 exons.
UUAAUGUCUGACUAACUCACAGCUAUGGAGGUUAUAUUUCAAAAAUAUCACUAAUACAGACAAACUUGAUUAUUUGUUUUCACUAUUUCUGCAGAUGGAGAACUGGAACAGGUUUUAAUGCUACAAAAUAGACGGCUCAGUGCUAGAACUUUGGAAUUUCUGACUGGGUCCUUGGCACUCUUGAAACUCUCCAGGCCACAGUUUGUUGCCAGUGGCUCAGAAGAACUACAGAGUAAACAUGCCUUUCAUUAAAGACCAAAAGAGUAUAAUAUCAAGGAAGCAGAGGCCCAGAAGGCAGGCUGCCAUAUCAGCUCUUCCAUUAAAAGCAAAUCUAACUCGUGUGCUGAUAUGAGGCAAAAGUUCCAGCAGAACAUGAAGAAACAGCUUGUUCUUUAUGUGACACGCUCGUGAGCCUUGAGAGGGUAACAGGAAGCAGAGAGGAUGUUCCUUCAGGAGCCCUCUCAACAGUGAGGGCGAGGAAUGCUCUUUUAUGCCAUGCCAGGAGGGCAGGGACACAGCAGCAUUCAGCCCAUUGAACCAGCCUCUGAGUUCCAUGUUCUGAGGGACCACCACAGCCCACUGGGACUCUCUUUGGUGUCACAGUCUCCAGCUCAGUGUUGCUGAAUGGCCUGACAAUCAUGAGGAUGAACAGCCAGCAGGGGAGGGAUGUUCCUACACACUUGUUAAGACCAGAAUGACCAGGUUAAAAAUAGUCUUUGAAAAGAGAAGGGUGGGUUAGUUUUCCCCUGUAGAAGAAUACUUCUGUAGAAGCACUUGUGUAAACGAGCUGAAAUACUACUUUUUGGAAUAUGGGAGGCAUCCUCUUGUGUCCAGGUGAUCCCCCUUUUGAGGAAAGGGAAGACUCAGAACACUGAACUGUGUAACAGCAGUAGCAGUGCUGCUCUGUAUACAUAGUUUAAUACCCACGGGCUUCCUUGUUCCAUUUGCAAAACAGAGAUGGAUUUUACUAUUAUGACAUAGUGUGAUGAAGUAUAUGAAGAACUUUAAAUUACUGUGCAAUGGAUGCAGUAUGAAAAUAUUAGACAUUGAAUUACUUCAUUUCCAGUUCAUAGUUUUCUCUUCCCUUGGCGUUACAAGGUAGUGAGGUUUGCUGAGGUUUGCAUGGCUAAAUCCUGGAAGAUGCUUGAGAGGAUUUUUUUCUUUGGUUAAGUAGAACUCAGUUUGGAGCUUGACAUGGCCAUUGACUGUUACUGUGACCUCCUUCCCUCCAAGUGGUGUUUAAUUCUGAGUGGAGAAAAAUUCCUGUGAACACCUUGUCUGCUGUAUUCUGAAAGGUUGGAGUCCAUGAUCUAGCCAGAGAACAAACUGUUCUUGGGAAAAGCAUGAAAGUGUUGCUCACAGGUCUCCUUUGCUAUUUCUAUAAUCCUUUUUUCUGCUUAAUAAUCCAGAAGGGUUGGAAACAGAAGCAAUAAUAGUCUGUCGUGUGGCCAUACUGAGAAAUCAUAGGUAAUUUGUUUUACAAAGACAUUGUUUGCACUCCUGGCAAGUUAGUAUUCCUCCAUGGGGCACACUGCACUCACUUAAAAAAUUUCAGUUAUUCUUUCUUUUUUUUUUUCCCUAAGAGUAAUUGGGAAAGACCAGUGUGCUCAUUUUUGCCAUAGAGAGAACAUCAUCUGAAAUGUUUGUUGAGUGCCACCAGCUCUGGUGUAUAGUGACUGACUGUGCUAAUCAAACACAGCCCUAUGUAAGGCCAGUUUGGGGACACAUUGCCACAUGAACUGGGAUCUGGAAAUGUUUCCCUCACCCUGCACUGAGCUGGGAAAGCUGAGCCCAUCUGACCAGUCUCUCAGGCCAGUACAAGGUCCCACCAGCUCCUUCUGGUGCAACUCUACCCAUGAGAAGAGUUUAUAGUGCUCAGGAUUUGCAGAGACUCUGCUCUUAGUGCUGUGGAGAACCAGCGAGGAAACUCCUUGUAUCAUGUUGUGUAGACGUACAUGUUAGUCUCAAACAACCUCUGGGCAUUAAACUGCCAUUUUUGAUCUUUAUGUGGACUUUGACUUGUGUGCAGACACUGGAACUUCUUCCCAGAACCGCUGUGGGCCUUUGAGGAGAGUCCUACCAGCAAUACAGCAAAGUGUGAUGGAGAGACCAUGUUCUGCCUUGCAAGGAAUCCUGCUGUCAAGCCAUAGCACUCUCUGAAAUCAGGGGAAGAAGGCCUUUAAAAAAAACAUGUAUCUUGAAACUGUCACGUCUCCAGCCCAUCUGCUUUGCCCAUCAUGGCAGUAAUUUAUCCAGCAUUUUGCCUUACUCAUAUUCCUUGGAAAAUCACUUCUCUGUGCAGAGUGAUCGGUUUCUUUUUCAGGGCUCAGCUUGAAGUGCAAGGCUGUAAGCGGGAAUAUUGGUACUCUGACUCAUUCUCUUGGAGGGCUAUUUUUAUGAUUGUUCAUGGAACUACAUCUUAAAACUCUCAGUUCGUGUUCUUAAAUGAUUUUCACAGCUUUCUGCUGAGUCGUCUCAGCACAAUGGUUUUCCCCUCUAAAGUUAGGGACUUUCUGAGGUUCUCGGGAAUGUAACUACUCUCCAUCCCUGCAGCUUGUAAAACCAAACCAUUGGCUGAGUACCUCCUUCUUUUUCUUCACCUCAGUAAGUGGCUCCAAGUCAGUGCUAUUUAAAAUUUAAUCAGUCUUGUCCUAACAGGAUAUAAUUCUUGAAUUUUAGCGGUUUAUGUAAAAGAUAGGUUAAAUUCAGCUACACUAACUGCCUCGUGACAGAACCUUUAUCUCCAGAACCUCUUAAUGAGCUCUCAUUAGCACAAAUUGCCCCUCAAUUUCUCACCACUUCCUAUCUCCUGCUUUCUUUGCAAUCCAUUAGCAUCCGUUUGCAGCCUCAUUUGAACAAUUAAACUUUAUUGUUUCCAGAAACACACAAGGACCCCCAGGUUCUUCUAUUAGGUCUGUGUCUCAGGGACCUGGGAAAGGAGUCACACGGUCCAACUUAACAGAGGCCAAAUUCUACCUACAGUUCAUUAUCCUCGGGGAAAAAUUUACUGCAGGUUGUUGAUGUGACUGGUAACUCUGGAUCACCCUAUAAAGGCACUUAAACUAAAUGUCUGAUGUUAGAGUGCAAGAAUCUCCAUCCUUUCCUCACACCCGAGGUUCAAGUCUCCCUGGCUAAUCUCUGCACAGAACUGUGCCUUCUCCGUGGCGUUGAUUUGCCACGGGUUUGUCUUUGUGCUUGUUUAUGUUCACCGUUAAUGGCUCAAACUUCCCUAAGUGAGCUGGAUGUUCUCAUUGGUUCUUAUUUGCCUGUGAGUGUUUCAACUACCAGCAGGCAAACUCAAACUCUAAGCCAUGACAAUAGUCCCCUGAAACUGUGCUCGUGGAUUAAAGGCUAGAGCGGCCCUGGAAGCCGAUCCCUUCCAAAGGGAUGGAGUCCAUGGACUCUUAACAGUAAUUGUAUGGUGUGAUGUGAACUGUAUUUUCUGAGCUUGUCUGCUGACUGUGUUUAAAGCCCCUUGAGAAGAAACAGAUCAGAGGUUUUACAGCUACACAGAGUUUGUGCCCGAACACUAAUGGCUACGUUGGCAAGCAGAAGGGACUUGGUAUUUCUUACUCUUUCCUCAAGAUACACCAUCUUUUCUUUUGACAUUUUGAUAGAUCAGCAGAUUCUCAUUCCAUGUUAUAUUCCAGGCAUGCAGCUGAGUGAUGAUUAAUGUCCAUGAAAGUGAAAAUGCUGCAUCUUUAUUUCUUAUGUCUUUACUGUGUUACAUUAUGUCUUGUUUGAUGACAACCGGAACUGGGAAACGUGGCUCCAUUCAAGUCAAUGGCAAAGCUUCCAGUGACAAAAGUGUCUCAUUCAUAAAGCUGUAAACACAUCUUACUAUUUUUUUGUAACUUUAAUUAAUUAAAUGCUCUCAAGAGGAGUCAGACAGAGCAAAAUCUCAACUUCAGCCUUCAUCUGAUCAGAAGUCUCCAUUUUGCUGAAGUAUGGUAUGAAGUCUUUUUUCUAAUAUCACAUGGCAGAAACAGAGCCUGUUUCUGCCAUAGUUUUUCCCACCAACUUGAAAACCAUGACGGAAGCAGAUCUUUUUAUUUACUUGUUUUGUGGUUGUUAGGGAAUUUUUUCCCAAAAUAUUAGUGUUUGGAAAUAAUAUUAAUUUCUUUGCUCCUUCUUGUGCAUCCCCCAAAGUGGAUUUCACUUUACAGGCGUUAUGUUCAGUAAGGACUGAAUCACUUGCUAGAAAUUUGCCAUAAUCCUUUCGGUUCGUUAUUUUCUGCUAAUCUUCAAAGCUUUUCCUAAGUUUAACAAGUCGCUGGAGUUAUAGGAGAUGGCGAAUUCAUCCUAGACCCGAGGAAAUGCCUUUUCAGGCUUUACCCCACUUGCUGACGCAGCUCAGACAUCGGAAACGCGAGUUUAAGAACGCGGCGGCGUUCUCAAACUCCGGGGCGAGGGGAGCCGGAGAGACUUCUUAAACUCUUCACAGGGGUCAUGCAAACUGGCAUAAAGUCUUUUAACAGCAAAAAGUUCCAAAAAGUCCGGAACAACCGCAGGCUUCGCGCUCCUCCGGCCGCCGGGGAGCGGGGCAGGGACAGCCCGGGGCUCCCCCGACCCGCCGCAGCCGGGACGCGGCGCUGGGAACUC